GUGCGAGGACACGUGGCAAGUUGCUGGCUUUGGAGACAAACGGUCUGAACCUUGAAUCCUAGCCCCCCACCAUCUACUGACCCCUGAACCUCUCUGAGCCUGUUUUCUCUUCUGAGGUGAGACGCACAGCCAUCAUCGGCCCCUUAGGGCAGGAUUUACGGUAGAGCAACGUGCUCGCCACCGUGCCUGCCAGAGGGGGCGCUCGACGAAUGGUGCGAUCAUCUCUGGAUGGCAUCCUAGCCAGUGUUGAAGUGAAGAAAUCAGUUACCUUGUCUAAAUAUAUGAAUUUCUUAUCUGAAAAAAGAUUCUUGGAAUCCUUUCUGCCAAUAAAACUUGGAAGUUUUGCAACAACGCCAAUAGGGCGAGCAACUUAGACGUGGAGCUGCCAUGUUGCCUGUAGACACAGCCCGGCUCCCACCCUGUGGUCCCGUUGAAGCAAAUGCACACAGCUAGGACCGGCUUGGACACAAUCACAACGGACAGGAGGGUCAAGAACAGACAGAGGAGCCAGGAGUUAAGUUUGCUUGUGGGAAACAGGAAGUGGCGGGGCAAUUAUGCACAGAGAUUUGGAGAUUGAGGGCUUAAUGUGAUUAAGAAAAUAUUGACUCCUCCAAUUAACAGCUGUUGGCCAGAGGGACCUCACAAGAAAAUGCUGUUUUUAUUUAAGGUUCAAUUGUCUUAGGGAUUGGAGAUGUCUGUGCAAGGCAGGCCACUUGGCAUGGCUAGGAGCCCUGGAGCGGCUGUAGGCAGAGGGCACUGAGCCCAUGGAUGGAGAAGUCACUGUGCCAGGCCCCGUGGUCAGCUUUACAAGAACCAUCUCGUCGAAGUCUCACAAGGCCCUCAUGGGGUGGAGAUGAGGCUAUUACAGUCUUCGUGGGGAAGAAGAGAGAGACUUGCGGAGGGAUGGAAUGUGGACCAGAAGGUGUGUGCAUAGCACACAGACGUGUCCAUACACACCCACGCACCCGUUCACGAGAAGCCCCAGGCAAGUCGGCAGGGGUGAAGGUGCCUCUGUUCACACACACCUCCUUCCUCUGCACCGAUUUCACCCUGCCUGGUUCCUCGGAGGAGGAGAGGCGGGGGAGGGGGAGAAAGAGAAUCCUAAGCGGGCUCCACACCCAGCGCAGAGCCGGACAGGGGCUUGAUCUCACAACCCUGAGAUCAUGA
Molecule: long non-coding RNA, 1167 nt
Filed under: Ursus maritimus (polar bear)
Lineage: Eukaryota; Metazoa; Chordata; Mammalia; Carnivora; Ursidae
Description: lncRNA (ENSUMAG00000019814.1)
Source: RNAcentral